UGUAAUGGCAACGGCGCAGGUCGCUGAAA
RNAcentral lists this small RNA (29 nucleotides) under Bombyx mori (domestic silkworm). RNAcentral's name for it is "ovarian small RNA-35378". The record is from RNAcentral. Lineage: Eukaryota; Metazoa; Arthropoda; Insecta; Lepidoptera; Bombycidae.